Molecule: transfer RNA, 84 nt
Filed under: Salmo salar (Atlantic salmon)
Lineage: Eukaryota; Metazoa; Chordata; Actinopteri; Salmoniformes; Salmonidae
Rfam family: tRNA
About the family: Transfer RNA (tRNA) molecules are approximately 80 nucleotides in length. Their secondary structure includes four short double-helical elements and three loops (D, anti-codon, and T loops).
Source: Rfam by way of RNAcentral
CUCCCUGUGGCUCAGUUGGUAGAGCAUGGUGUUUGCAAUGGUGUUUGCAACGCCAGGGUUAUGGGUUCGAUUCCCACGGGGGGC